AAAAUGGAACGUACGGAAAGCAUUGAGAAUAGAUUCUCAAUAUAUUUUCAAGCUUGGGAUUCCAUACUCAAAGCGCUAAAGCCGCAAAAGGAACCAAAAGGCGGCUAUGUACGCAGUUCAGAAUACGAUCAUUGGUAAAGUUUUUAUUGAAGAAUCCUCAGAGACUAUACGUUGAACACAAGUUAAAUAAAUGGGCGAACGAGUUAAAACUUUAGUAGCCCAAGUAUUUUUCUUAUGAUGAUAUAGUCCGAACUCGCCAGCGAUGGCGAGAGACCGGCAGAAAUGUCCGGUCCAACUCAAGAACCCGCCAAAAGCUAACGCAUUUAGGCGGGCAAGUCGGUGCUAAUUUUUGGAAAAAAAAGAGGUUAUUUGUUUGACCUCUGAUUGAGAUAUGUCUUUAGCCAGAAUUUCCAGUUGAUCAUGACAUAGAAAACCAAUACGACAAGGAUGGCCUUACCUACUAUAAUGGGAAAUUCAUACAUAUAUUGUCCUCCUUCUGAUUAAAGUCUAGCAUAGAGACAUAUUUUUAUCAAGCUCUAAUCUUGACCCCGCAAAAAAGAGCGGGGCAGGCUCCAAAAAUUAGCACCGAUUAUCAAAUCUUGAGCACUUGGGUGUCCGACACCCAAGUUAGUAACAAAAUGUAGAUACCCUUGUAGUCCACGCCCUAAACGAUGAUGACUAGCCAUUGGAAGUAUCGACCCUUCGAGUGGCGAAGCUAACGCGUUAAGUCAUCCGCCUGGGAAGUACGAACGCAAGUUUAAAACUCAAAGGAAUAGACGGGGACUCGCACAAGCGGUGGAGCAUGUGGUUCAAUUCGAUGGUAAACGAAAAACCUCACCAGGGCUUGAAAUUCCGACGAUAAGUCCCGUGAAAGCGGGAUGUCUCACAAGGACGUCGGAACAGGUGCUGCAUGGCUGUCGUCAGUUCGUGGCUUGAGCUGUUCCCUUAAGUGGGGUAACGAACGCAACCCCUGCCCCGUGUUAUACGUGUCACGGGGGACUACUCUGAUUUUCGGAGGGGAAGGUGGGGAUGACGCCAAGUCAGCAUGGCCCUCUGAUGCCCUGGGCUACACACGUGCUACAAUGGGACGUACAAUGGGCCGCAAUACCGAGAGGUGGAGCUAAUCCCUUAAAACGUCCCCCAGUUCAGAUUGAGGUCUGCAACUCGACCUCAUGAAGACGGAAUCGCUAGUAAUCGCAGGUCAGCUAUACUGCGGUGAAUACGUUCUCGAGUCUUGUACUCACAAAUAAAUGCGCCCGGCAGCGCAUAGUUCUAAGUGGUUAAAAUCCACUCUUUAUCAUUCGUCGUGAUAAAUGUAGCAGAAAGAUAGGUC
RNAcentral lists this ribosomal RNA (1333 nucleotides) under Candidatus Giovannonibacteria bacterium RIFCSPHIGHO2_01_45_12. Its description in RNAcentral is "bacterial SSU rRNA". The stretch from base 525 to 1297 matches the Rfam family "Bacterial small subunit ribosomal RNA". Lineage: Bacteria; Candidatus Giovannoniibacteriota. The record is from RNAcentral.